This 405-nucleotide ribosomal RNA is filed under the name uncultured bacterium. RNAcentral's name for it is "partial 16S ribosomal RNA". It matches the Rfam family "Bacterial small subunit ribosomal RNA", at positions 30 to 526 of the family's 1533-position model. The record is from RNAcentral.
AUUGAACGCUGGCGGCAGGCUUAACACAUGCAAGUCGAACGAGUGGCGGACGGGUGAGUAAUGCUUGGGAAUCUAGCUUAUGGAGGGGGAUAACUACGGGAAACUGUAGCUAAUACCGCGUACCAUAGGAUGAGCCCAAGUGGGAUUAGGUAGUUGGUGAGGUAAAGGCUCACCAAGCCGACGAUCCCUAGCUGGUCUGGAAGGAUGACCAGCGAAACUGGGAAUGAGACACGGCCCAGACUCCGUCGGGAGGCAGCAGUGGGGAAUAUUUCGCAAAGGGGGAAACCUGACUCAGCCAUGCCGCGUGAAUGAAGAAGGCCUUCGGGUUGUAAAGCUCUUUUAAUCGGGAGACGGUACCGGAAUAGAAAGCCACGGCUAACUACGUGCCAGCAGCCGCGGUAAUUC